UACGGGGGGGGCAAGCGUUGUUCGGAAUUACUGGGCGUAAAGGGCUCGUAGGCGGCCAACUAAGUCGGACGUGAAAUCCCUCGGCUUAACCGGGGAACUGCGUCCGAUACUGGAUGGCUUGAGUUUGGGAGAGGGAUGCGGAAUUCCAGGUGUAGCGGUGAAAUGCGUAGAGAUCCGGCGGAACACCGGUGGUGAAGGCGGCUUCCUUGGCCGAACCCGACGCUGAGGCGCGAGAGCGCGGGGAGCGAACCGG
This 253-nucleotide ribosomal RNA is filed under the name uncultured bacterium. RNAcentral describes it as "partial 16S ribosomal RNA". It matches the Rfam family "Bacterial small subunit ribosomal RNA", at positions 524 to 776 of the family's 1533-position model. The record is from RNAcentral.